This is a long non-coding RNA of Piliocolobus tephrosceles (Ugandan red Colobus), 522 nucleotides long. RefSeq lists it as uncharacterized. The record is from RefSeq and is a predicted model, not a curated record. NCBI's taxonomy places the organism in Eukaryota, Metazoa, Chordata, Mammalia, Primates, Cercopithecidae. The transcript has 3 exons.
AAACAAGGACAAAUUCAAUGAAGACAGAAGCUGGUCUGAAGGGUUCCUGGCCAAUCUGUGAAUGAUUUAAACAUCACAAAGAAUGACAUCGAUGGAUUAAAACACAUGAAAUUAUGUGACCAGAAAAUGUUGGGGACCACUGCAUCAGACCCCUGGGUCUGGCCACAAUUCUUGCCAGAAAUUGAAUUGGAGGGUGCAGGGUCUAUGAAGGAACAAGGAAAGCAGCCACUGCAUUCACAGGCAAGGAGGAGGCAACCACACAGGAAAUUCCUCAUCUCAGAAGAAAUCGGACAAGAAAAUUAACAAAACUUCUACCAACAAGUGAGCAGUCAAAUCAACCUGAUAGUGCUGCCUGCAGCAGCCAAUAUAAGGGGUACAUUGGUGAGAACCAAGGCUCCUCCAAGCACAGCUCUGUUCCCAGAAGGAGCUGCCUCAGUCACAUUAGCUUCAGCGCAAAUUGGCUCAGGCCCCCAGCUCCUCUCCUCCAUUUCAAUAAUAAACUCCUGAGCCUGCUUCACGUAA